UGCCAGGCAUAAGUUACAGAACUUGAAAAG
RNAcentral lists this non-coding RNA (30 nucleotides) under Rattus norvegicus (Norway rat). Lineage: Eukaryota; Metazoa; Chordata; Mammalia; Rodentia; Muridae. The record is from RNAcentral.